UGUCUUCAUUGCAUGGUGGUCUCAGGAGACCAGGAAGGUUUUUCCAUUAAAAAAAAAAAAAAAACAUGGGCGAAGCUACUAUGAGCAUUCUUUAUGUCUUCUCUUCAGUAUGCAUAUGCAGUUGACCAUCUAGGGUAUAAAGUAAGACACAUUGUGAGCCCUAUUCAAGCUCUGCCAAAGGUCCCACACAGCACUGGAGAUGGGGUGACCUGCUGUAGCCGCACAGCUCUUCUGAGAUGGGUGUGAUCUGCCAAGAAGCCAAUCAACCUGCUUACUGCAAGACAUGGAAGCAAGACUCCACCCCUGUAACUUUAUCCCUGCCUUUGGUAUACCCCCUGAAAUAAACCAUGAGAGCCAUUUUCUAAUUGUCUAGCUCCAGCUCCUGUGUGGACUGGACCUGUCAAGCCCUCCAAUCCUUUAAAAUUAA
Molecule: long non-coding RNA, 427 nt
Organism: Marmota flaviventris (yellow-bellied marmot)
Lineage: Eukaryota; Metazoa; Chordata; Mammalia; Rodentia; Sciuridae
Source: RefSeq, a predicted model, not a curated record